GGCUUACUGUGUAGUUAUCUAAAUGCCGGCACGAAUAUAUAAGAUCAGGUCCACACUAUUUAAAAUGGAAGGAAUGGGAAAUUGAUUAAUUCUAUCUUUGAUGCUUUAGUUAAUUAACUUCUAACAGUGUGCAGAUUACUUGUAGAAUCCAUUCUUGUCCUUGAUACUUGCUCUUAGUUUCUGAUCUUCUUUUUCUAAUUUUCAACUGCCUACUAAAUACAAAACAGCUGAGAGGUUUUGUUAAAUGCCACGGGAAGUAGAUCAGAGUUGGGUAAAGAGGACUUAAAAGAUCUGGUGAUUGUUGAAUCUAGGUUAUGGAUACAUAGAAUGAAAUUCUAUGUGUGUAUAUGUUUAAUUUUUCACAAUUAAAAGUUUCUUGAAGAAACUUAAUAAGAAGAA
RNAcentral lists this long non-coding RNA (399 nucleotides) under Bos taurus (domestic cattle). RNAcentral describes it as "long non-coding RNA NONBTAT025641". Lineage: Eukaryota; Metazoa; Chordata; Mammalia; Artiodactyla; Bovidae. The record is from RNAcentral.